CAGCUGUUACCGCAACGCCCCAGCCGUAACAGGCGCCGGGUUCAUCGGUAACGAGAACGCG
RNAcentral lists this small RNA (61 nucleotides) under Pseudomonas sp. 8AS. RNAcentral describes it as "Pseudomonas sRNA P36". It matches the Rfam family "Pseudomonas sRNA P36". Lineage: Bacteria; Pseudomonadati; Pseudomonadota; Gammaproteobacteria; Pseudomonadales; Pseudomonadaceae. The record is from Rfam by way of RNAcentral.